Molecule: small RNA, 1497 nt
Filed under: Oryza sativa Japonica Group (Japanese rice)
Lineage: Eukaryota; Viridiplantae; Streptophyta; Magnoliopsida; Poales; Poaceae
Description: sRNA Os02g0211500
Source: RNAcentral
UAAUCAUUUAUCUACAAAUUGAGUUGCAAUCUACCUUGUUUUUGCUUGUGUUUUAUGAUUCAUAUGAAGGGAUUAGCCUUCUCAGCGAGGUCAACCGAGCAGCGCACGGUUGAUUACCAAAGGAGACAUGGUAAUGCAAUUGCAGGGUUCAGAUUGUGUUGAUUGGAAGCCGGAUCGUGUGUCUAGUUUCCACCAAAUCGAGAGUUAUCAGCACCUAUCGAAAGAUCGAGACCUAGGUCCUUAGUUAGUAUCAGAGCACAAAUUGCUUGUUAGGUAUACCUUCUUUAAGAUUAUUAGUUUCUUUUAUAUAUACCUAUAACUAUAAAACUUUCACACAAAAUUAUUGCAUCCAUUACCUAGAAAUUUUGAGCCAUUGAAUUGUUCUAUUAGAUUUUGCUUUAUUGAAUUUUAUGUUGCAUGUCGUGUCGAGUACUAGUUUAGUUUUAGAUUUAUUUUUUUUAGUUUUGAGUAUUUCAUCUCUUCGUCAAUUCGGGUUUAGGGUUCAUUAGUUAAGUCGUGUGAGUUGUAUGUCAGUUUUGGAUGUAGUUUUGCAUCAUGUCGAUUGUUGUUGGGACUUAAAAAAUCGAACUAACCAUCGCCGGGUUUCCGUUUUUAUGGUUUGGAGAAGUUUUCAUCGAGCGGUUUUGGAGUUGCUCGGUUGGUAGGAUUUCCUAUUGACUUUUGUAUUUCAGUCCCUAUAAUAUUUAUAUUUACAUUUAAGUCUCUAUUUGAGAUCAUUGGCCUGUUUCUGUUGAAAAAUAAUAUAAAAAAGAAAAAAACGCAGAAAGGUGAUAUCAGAAAACAGAAAAAAUAUCGCAAAAAAAGAGAAAAGAGCAAAAAAAAAGUAAUGGUAUUAUUCUAAUUCAAUAUAUUUAUAAUGGCAUGAAUCAAAUUAAUCCGAUCUCUAUCCCAGUCUCCAAAUCCUCCGAGGGCGUCGACUCUAAUGGCUGCGCCGAGUCUGUCACGCUGCCGCCGCUGAAGACGCGAUGGGCGACGGCGACGGCGACGGCGAGCAAGCCAGUACUGCAGGCGCCGCGAUGGCGGUUUCCCAGGUCCGGCGCCGUCCUCUGAGGUCAGGAUGGUACUGCUUUUCUGACCUUGCGUGUGCCUGUAACUGUAAUCUCAAUUUCCUGUGUUUCCUUUGAAUGCGCGUGGCAUGUUUGUGGAAAUGCCUCUGUGGGAGUAGCACGCAGUACUUACGCACGCACGCACAUGUGUGCCCAUUUUGCUCUAUGCAUAUCCUUAUGCCUGCAUGUUGUGAGUUGUGCUGCUGAUUAACCACUGCAGAAUUAUUGGUUUUUUAAGUUAGAACAAUAUUUUGGUGUGUUCCAGCCUGCUGUCUGUUGUUUGCUGACCAUUGCAUUUGCUGCUGACCCAAACAAGUUUUAGGACCAAGAGGUUGAUUCUGUGUGGACUUAAUUAUGGUAAUGAAAGUAGCUGUACAUAAUAGUUGCAAUGCAGAACAGCUUUGCAGUCUUUGCACUAAUUUCAGGAAGG